This 126-nucleotide small RNA is filed under the name Enterobacter bugandensis. RNAcentral describes it as "RtT sRNA". It matches the Rfam family "RtT RNA". Rfam says of the family: This family represents a bacterial cis-regulatory element known as RtT RNA. The exact function of RtT is unknown although it is thought that it may be involved in changing the cellular response in relation to amino acid starvation. Lineage: Bacteria; Pseudomonadati; Pseudomonadota; Gammaproteobacteria; Enterobacterales; Enterobacteriaceae. The record is from RNAcentral.
UUGCUAUAUGCUAUCUGGAUGAUUCGAACCUGCAGCAGGUUCGAGCCGAACGCAGUGAGGCACCGGAGCCGUUUACGGCGACGGCCCGAAGGGCGAGCGAAGCGAGUCAUCCUGCACGACCCACCA